AUUCGGUCAUGAAUGAGUGCAAGCUCAUUUUGUGAAGAGUGAGGCUACUUACAUAAUAUGGGCAUACCUAACAAAAUUCCAAGAGGGGCUUUAGCUUCUUCUGUUAAAUGUGUCUCAAACUCCUUUUGAAAGAGUUAAAUAAAAAGAAUUUGAGCACAAUUUCUAUAUGAAAAAAUACUUAUAGUUUUGUGGUAAGAUUGCUAUUUAGAGGUUUUGAAGAGUUGAUUCAAAUCCCAAUAACCAUUUACUACAAAAGGAAUAUUUUUACAAAUGUGGCCACAAGAGCUCUAACAUUUAAAAUAAAUAAUUUAUUGCUAUGAUUUUUCAAAAUUUAAAAGAAAAUAAUAGAAAUUAAGUUUUUGAGACUUUCAAUGUGUUAAGUGAACAGUAAAAAAAUUAAUUAUCCCAAAUUAAAUUAAUUUUUUUUUCUCUGAGCCACCAAUAAUUUAAGUGUUUGAGUUUGCCACUGCUUGUGUUCUUAAAAUUAUUUUAAACUUUCUUAAAAUUAUUUUAAACACUUUAAUUUUAAUAAAUAAAUUUAUUACAAAAAUAUUCAUCAUGAUAAUAACUAUUAAAAGCAAUUUAUUAUCAGUUAAUAUUAUAUAAUUUCAUAAAAUCUAUUUCAUUGAAUUCGAACUAUAUAAGAAAGAGAAAAGUCAUGCCACGGACAAAUAUUGCACGAUUGAAUUUAGUUGUUUAAUCGAUUAUUGAUUACAACUAUAAUAUUAUUAUUACUUUAUUUUUCCAUGAUAUUAUAUAUGUUUUAUAGCGGUUUAAUGACAACAAUGGAUGAAAAAAUUAAUUCCACUUAAUAAGUUGAAGGAUUUGGUUUUUGGUAAUGAACAAUUUAAGGGUUGGAAAGAUGGGAUUUGGUUUUUGGUAAUGAACAAUUUAAGGGUUGGAAAGAUGGGAUUUGGUUUUUGGUUAAAGAUGGCCAAUGGGCCGGGCGACAUAGGCAUCGCAUGUGUUUGUACAACAUGGCACGACACGAGCAUAUUUAGGCAAGGCACACAGCACGGCACGCACAUGGGUCGUGUCGGGCCUAGAGUUUUAGGCAUGCGGGCCUUAUAAGUACGAUUAGAGAUGGGCUAAAACGCGGCAUGUGAAAAGGCACGUAAUAAGCACGUUUUAUUAGUGGGCUAACACACAGCUCGUGGGCCAAAGUAUAUCAAAGUAAAAAUUUUUAAUAAAAAAA
This 1195-nucleotide long non-coding RNA is filed under the name Citrus x clementina. RNAcentral's name for it is "Citrus clementina (C. clementina) long non-coding RNA (CCLE_LNC005474)". The record is from RNAcentral. Lineage: Eukaryota; Viridiplantae; Streptophyta; Magnoliopsida; Sapindales; Rutaceae.